CUCAGAACGAACGCUGGCGGCAGGCCUAACACAUGCAAGUCGAGCGAGGACUUCGGUCCUAGCGGCGGACGGGUGAGUAACGCGUGGGAACGUGCCCUUCACUACGGAAUAGUCCCGGGAAACUGGGUUUAAUACCGUAUACGCCCUUCGGGGGAAAGAAUUUCGGUGAAGGAUCGGCCCGCGUCUGAUUAGGUAGUUGGUGGGGUAACGGCCUACCAAGCCUACGAUCAGUAGCUGGUUUGAGAGGAUGAUCAGCCACACUGGGACUGAGACACGGCCCAGACUCCUACGGGAGGCAGCAGUGGGGAAUCUUAGACAAUGGGGGCAACCCUGAUCUAGCCAUGCCGCGUGAGUGACGAAGGCCCUAGGGUCGUAAAGCUCUUUCACCAGGGAAGAUAAUGACGGUACCUGGAAAAGAAACCCCGGCUAACUCCGUGCCAGCAGCCGCGGUAAUACGGAGGGGGUUAGCGUUGUUCGGAAUUACUGGGCGUAAAGCGCGCGUAGGCGGACUGUUAAGUCAGGGGUGAAAUCCCGGGGCUCAACCCCGGAACUGCCCUUGAUACUGGCAGUCUCGAGUUCGAGAGAGGUGAGUGGAACUCCGAGUGUAGAGGUGAAAUUCGUAGAUAUUCGGAAGAACACCAGUGGCGAAGGCGGCUCACUGGCUCGAUACUGACGCUGAGGUGCGAAAGUGUGGGGAGCAAACAGGAUUAGAUACCCUGGUAGUCCACACCGUAAACGAUGAAUGCCAGACGUCGGGCAGCAUGCUGUUCGGUGUCACACCUAAC
Molecule: ribosomal RNA, 785 nt
Filed under: uncultured organism
Description: bacterial SSU rRNA
Rfam family: Bacterial small subunit ribosomal RNA
Source: RNAcentral